CCAGCUGCUCCGGCCUGCAGGCUGCCUUCGCCAGAGGGAGCUCCAGGAGAGACUCAGGGGAAGACGGCGGGGCCCUGAGGCUGCCUGCGGGCUCCUCCCCACCGCCCCGGGGCUGAGGCACCCUUGGGCCCGCAGCAUGGGCUGGGCUGAGGGCUGGUGGCUGGUGUGGCCUACAAGCGAUGCCCAACUGAAAGCCAGCCUCGCUCUCCCCAGCAGCAAAACCCCUGAGAGGAACGGGAGCAGGUUCCCGCUAAGAGCACUGUAGAAAAGAUAGCAAAGCUUAGAAUGAAAAAAGUGCGUUGAAAUACUGCUGCUGAGUAUCAGCAAAGGGCUCACCAGGGAGAUGCCGGUGUGUGCAUCCCCUGUUGGCAAGGUUUGGUCCCCUCACAGGUGAGUAACUGCCACGGUGGGCAAUCCUGUUCCUCCUGUGCUGCUUGGCUGGGCUGAAGAAGCAAACCCGUAGCUAAAACCCGAAAGGAAAGCCUUAUAAUAUUCUUCACUAUGUGUUUACAGGAAGGCUUGUGAUAGCCUCACAGAUUCUGGGAGCAACAGCAGUGCAGAGAACUCAGGACGAAGCACACAGAGUGUGCAAGGAUGCAUGAUAAGAAAAUAAAACAACGAUCCUGCCACAGUGAGAUGAAGUGCAGAGCGCAGCCUGCUGUGACAAACGUGUCCCACCAGCCCAGCCCAGUUUUUGUCCCUCAGGAGAAAGGAUGAACUCCCUGGUGCUCUCAGCUCAGCCUCCUGCUAAUGAGCACCCUGCAUUUUACCUGGGAAAUAUGAAAAAUUACAAAGGAAGGUCAGAGAUUAGGAAACAGCAUCUACUUCCAAAACAAAAUGAGAAUCAUCUGACCUCAGGCUGGUGGCAACCAACAUCCCCUGGAUCGCUCUGCCACAGGGCUGAUACAGCAUCGCUCUCCCAGGCUCCAGCAAGACUGCAAUAAACUCUGGCCAACCUUGG
This 961-nucleotide long non-coding RNA is filed under the name Gallus gallus (chicken). Its description in RNAcentral is "long non-coding RNA NONGGAT008265". The record is from RNAcentral. Lineage: Eukaryota; Metazoa; Chordata; Aves; Galliformes; Phasianidae.